GGAGAGAUGGCUGAGAGGUUUAAAGCGUGGCAUUGGAAAUGCCAUUUAAAGGAAACUUUAACAAGGGUUCGAAUCCCUUUCUCUCCU
RNAcentral lists this transfer RNA (87 nucleotides) under Cavernulicola chilensis. RNAcentral describes it as "tRNA-Ser". It matches the Rfam family "tRNA". Rfam says of the family: Transfer RNA (tRNA) molecules are approximately 80 nucleotides in length. Their secondary structure includes four short double-helical elements and three loops (D, anti-codon, and T loops). The record is from RNAcentral. Lineage: Eukaryota; Rhodophyta; Bangiophyceae; Cavernulicolales; Cavernulicolaceae.